GAAGCACUGGUUACUUCCCCCGUCCUCUCAGCUCUGGGAAGGGUGGGGUGGUCAUGAAGUCCUGAGAGAGCAGAGGGACACACCAACUUCUCUUGUUGGUUCCCUCAACCCUGCCCAUACCUAUGGGUAAUCAGAGAUGGAUUCAGUCUCCAGUUAGGAUCCUCAUCAAGGUAUUUGUAUGGGGGAUUCCAUGCAGAUGGUGUAUAGAGAGAAGAUAGACACAAGGGAUCUUCAUAGCCAAGGACUGGAUUUGAACAAGUCAGUCUCCAGCUAUGUUUUAGACACUGAGGACUGUGCCCGUCAUCCCUUAGAGCUUCUCUCUGGGCCACUGGCUCGAAGGGCACAUCUCAGGGAAAAAGGUCAGUGUGAUUCCCUUAUUUCUUUGUGGAAAGACCUCAGUAGCCAAAGGUGUUUGCCCGUGUUAUUUGUCUGAACAAGAUCUUCUCUAGGACAGCUAGGUCCACAGGACAGCACCAAGAGUUACUCUGCAUGCUUAUAGUACCUGCUUACGAACAGAAACAGAGGCAAUAUUCACAUGAAAGCUCAAAUGUGGAUCUCUCCUACCAUAGUCACGUCUUCACAAGCUGACAGCCCUCUCAAUUCUGAGAUUUGUUAUUCAGUCUUUUCCCAAUAGGAUCUACAAAGCACCUCUUGACCAUUUAUCAUGCAUGGAACCAACAUGUCAAAUUCCUCAAUAACUGAUUCCCGCCUAGGAUCACACUCAUUGACUAGCUCCGCCAAUUCUUACAAUUCAUUCAGGCUCUGCUACAAGCAUACAGCUUUGCUAGAAGUAGAUUUCUUCUAGGAAAUUUCAUGCUACUGAGAGGUUGUGUGGCAGAGCCAUGUUGCCAUUCUUCCAGCAUGACUUGAUAGCUAAGUUGAACACUAUCCCAAGGAGAUGCCUCCUUGACAACUUACACUGCAAAGUGAAUCAUAACCCUGACCCUGGAGACUGCUAUAACGGGCUCCUGUGAGAGUUCUAUUUGCAGAACCCAGAAUUCACAACGGAACAUCAACAUAUCCAAAAGACAAGUUUCAAUGAACAGAUUCUCAGCAAAAGGACUCUAAGGAUGCAGAGGAAGGGAAGUCACCCAAUCUGGGAAGGAGGGACAUGGAUGAAUCUGG
Molecule: long non-coding RNA, 1125 nt
Filed under: Homo sapiens (human)
Lineage: Eukaryota; Metazoa; Chordata; Mammalia; Primates; Hominidae
Description: HSALNT0370599
Source: RNAcentral